RNAcentral lists this ribosomal RNA (618 nucleotides) under uncultured bacterium. RNAcentral's name for it is "bacterial SSU rRNA". It matches the Rfam family "Bacterial small subunit ribosomal RNA", at positions 11 to 645 of the family's 1533-position model. The record is from RNAcentral.
GUUUGAUCAUGGCUCAGGACGAACGCUGGCGGCGUGCCUAACACAUGCAAGUCGAGCGAGUGGAUCUCCUUCGGGAGUGAAGCUAGCGGCGGACGGGUGAGUAACACGUGGGCAACCUGCCUCAUAGAGGGGAAUAGCCUUUCGAAAGGAAGAUUAAUACCGCAUAAGAUUGUAGCUUCGCAUGAAGUAGCAAUUAAAGGAGCAAUCCGCUAUGAGAUGGGCCCGCGGCGCAUUAGCUAGUUGGUGAGGUAACGGCUCACCAAGGCGACGAUGCGUAGCCGACCUGAGAGGGUGAUCGGCCACAUUGGGACUGAGACACGGCCCAGACUCCUACGGGAGGCAGCAGUGGGGAAUAUUGCACAAUGGGGGAAACCCUGAUGCAGCAACGCCGCGUGAGUGAUGACGGCCUUCGGGUUGUAAAGCUCUGUCUUCAGGGACGAUAAUGACGGUACCUGAGGAGGAAGCCACGGCUAACUACGUGCCAGCAGCCGCGGUAAUACGUAGGUGGCAAGCGUUGUCCGGAUUUACUGGGCGUAAAGGGAGCGUAGGCGGACUUUUAAGUGAGAUGUGAAAUACCCGGGCUCAACUUGGGUGCUGCAUUCAAACUGGAAGUCUAGA